CCAGAAUCGAAACUGACCUUUGGUCCGUUAUCUGACGCUGGGCGUCCUCACGUAGUGGUAGUGCCUGCUAGGGGAAGCGUAUUUCUCCGCUACCCACCUCUCAAUAAAACUGCUGGUUUAAAAAAAUAAAUACAUUUCCACCCUCUUCUUUCCUGUCUCCCUCCUCUUGUUCAGAUUCAGUAUAUUUGUUCUGAACUGGUAAAACGGUCUAGUCACAUGAUUGGCCCAGGCUGACAUUCAGGAACGGGCAUGAUGCUAGAUUCCAGG
Molecule: non-coding RNA, 267 nt
Organism: Pelobates cultripes (western spadefoot toad)
Lineage: Eukaryota; Metazoa; Chordata; Amphibia; Anura; Pelobatidae
Source: the annotation of a GenBank genome assembly